GGAGGAAGAGAGGAGUCCAAAUCAGAAGGACCGCCGGUUUGCUAAACCGGAACCGGGGUCAUGCCCGGCGCGGGGCAGUACCGCUCUCCUCCGCCA
Molecule: transfer RNA, 96 nt
Filed under: Opitutaceae bacterium
Lineage: Bacteria; Pseudomonadati; Verrucomicrobiota; Opitutia; Opitutales; Opitutaceae
Description: tRNA-Ser
Source: RNAcentral